UGAGCUUCAGGUUCUUGACAAGCAUGCGUCUUUAUUCAAAGUGUAGUGGCUGAGAAUCAGGAAAGAAAGGCACAUCCUGUCGAAGGAGCUAUGUAUGGGUUGUCUGAACUGUCUUCUCAGUUCCCACAACUCAAUCCUUUUGAGCUGAAAUGGAUGGUGAGCCAAGGGUGAAAUACUUGAAGAAGACACCUUUUCAGUUGUAUGUUCUUGAAGAAACUUUUGCUGUGAAUAAAUAUCUAUCGGACCAGGAUCGAGCAUACUUUGGAUGAGUGAUGACCAUGAUUCAAUUCUGAGCUUCAGGUUCUUGACAAGCAGGUCGUCUUUAUUCAAAUUGUAGUCGCUGAGAAUCAGGAAAGAAAAGCACAUCCUGUUGAAGGAGCUAUGCAUGGGUUGUCCGAACUGUAUUCGCAACAUGCUGCACUACAGACAAAUGUUAUUCGAUUGCAAGGGAUGAUUGAGGCGGUCAACAAUGAGAAUCAACUUUUAGAAAUGGAUCUUGGUUUUUUGGAGCAAAAUAUCGCCGAUCAAAAUGGCCACAAUUAACAACUUACAGCAGCAAGCUGCCUCUGAGGGCUCGGCAGUUUAAGGAAAAUGGUAUAUUAUUUGCCUCUGAAUUAGGGUUCAUGUGGGUUUUAGGGUUUCAUACUUUCAUUAAUGUAAUGCUUAGCUGGGUAUCUUGGGUAGAAUUUUAAAACUUGAUCUGCAAAGUCAUUGAACAGAGUUUUUGUGC
Molecule: long non-coding RNA, 730 nt
Filed under: Helianthus annuus (common sunflower)
Lineage: Eukaryota; Viridiplantae; Streptophyta; Magnoliopsida; Asterales; Asteraceae
Source: RNAcentral